Molecule: long non-coding RNA, 403 nt
Filed under: Homo sapiens (human)
Lineage: Eukaryota; Metazoa; Chordata; Mammalia; Primates; Hominidae
Description: HSALNT0291736
Source: RNAcentral
ACCCUACCCCCGAGAUUCACACAGCAGGGUCCACUCCCUCCCAGGCUUGGCUUCCCCAGGCUGAGGGCUGGGCAUUGGCACCCUUCCACAGACCACAUGAGUCAGCUCCCUCCCCACCCAACAAGGCCAGUGCUGGCUCUGUCUGAGGUCCCUUUGUUCAGGUCUCUUCUGAAGAAAGGCACCAGAGGCUCCAGCUCUGGCCAUAAUGCCCCAGAUGAAGCUUGACAGGAGAACUGGACACAACAGGCCAGAAUAUGCAUUCCAGGAGAGCAGGGAUAUUUGUUUUGUUCCCCGAUGUAUCCCCUGGAUCUAGCACAGGACUGGCAGGAACCCCAGAUUCUUCUCCAUGGUCGGAAUCAUUGCAAAAUAACUGACGGAGUUUCACCAUGUUGGCCAGGAUGGU